UACGGAGGAUCCAAGCGUUUAUCCGGAAUCAUUGGGUUUAAAGGGUCCGUAGGCGGCCUUAUAAGUCAGUGGUGAAAUCUCCCGGCUCAACCGGGAAAUGGCCAUUGAUACUGUAGGGCUUGAAUUAUUAGGAAGUAACUAGAAUAUGUAGUGUAGCGGUGAAAUGCUUAGAUAUUACAUGGAAUACCAAUUGCGAAGGCAGGUUACUACUAAUGGAUUGACGCUGAUGGACGAAAGCGUGGGUAGCGAACAGG
This 254-nucleotide ribosomal RNA is filed under the name uncultured bacterium. Its description in RNAcentral is "partial 16S ribosomal RNA". It matches the Rfam family "Bacterial small subunit ribosomal RNA", at positions 524 to 776 of the family's 1533-position model. The record is from RNAcentral.